GAUCAUGGCUCAGAUUGAACGCUGGCGGCAGGCUUAACACAUGCAAGUCGAACGGUAACAUGAAGAAGCUUGCUUCUUUGAUGACGAGUGGCGGACGGGUGAGUAAUGCUUGGGAAUCUAGCUUAUGGAGGGGGAUAACUACGGGAAACUGUAGCUAAUACCGCGUAGUAUCGAGAGAUGAAAGUGUGGGACCUUCGGGCCACAUUCACUAGGAGUGAGCCCAACGUAGGGAGUUAGGUUAGG
Molecule: ribosomal RNA, 243 nt
Filed under: uncultured bacterium
Lineage: Bacteria
Description: partial 16S ribosomal RNA
Rfam family: Bacterial small subunit ribosomal RNA
Source: RNAcentral